GUGAGGAACACGUGAGAAAUCUGCCUUCAACACUGGGAUAACUCCGGGAAACCGGGGCUAAUACCGGAUAUGAAAUCUGCGGGCAUCCGCGGAUUUGGAAAGUUUUUCGGUUGAAGAUGAUCUCGCGGCCUAUCAGCUUGUUGGUGAGGUAAUGGCUCACCAAGGCGACGACGGGUAGCCGGCCUGAGAGGGCGACCGGCCACACUGGGACUGAGACACGGCCCAGACUCCUACGGGAGGCAGCAGUGGGGAAUAUUGGGCAAUGGAGGAAACUCUGACCCAGCGACGCCGCGUGCGGGAUGAAGGCCUUCGGGUUGUAAACCGCUUUCAGCAGGGGAGAAGCGAAAGUGACGGUACCUGCAGAAGAAGCACCGGCUAACUAUGUGCCAGCAGCCGCGGUAAUACAUAGGGUGCAAGCGUUGUCCGGAAUUAUUGGGCGUAAAGAGCUCGUAGGUGGUUCGUCACGUCGGAUGUGAAACUCUGGGGCUUAACCCCAGACCUGCAUUCGAUACGGGCGAGCUUGAGUAUGGUAGGGGAGUCUGGAAUUCCUGGUGUAGCGGUGGAAUGCGCAGAUAUCAGGAGGAACACCAAUGGCGAAGGCAGGACUCUGGGCCAUUACUGACACUGAGGAGCGAAAGCGUGGGGAGCGAACAGGAUUAGAUACCCUGGUAGUCCACGCCGU
RNAcentral lists this ribosomal RNA (682 nucleotides) under uncultured bacterium. Its description in RNAcentral is "bacterial SSU rRNA". It matches the Rfam family "Bacterial small subunit ribosomal RNA", at positions 106 to 803 of the family's 1533-position model. The record is from RNAcentral.